AACUUUCAACAACGGAUCUCUUGGUUCUGGCAUCGAUGAAGAACGCAGCGAAAUGCGAUAAGUAAUGUGAAUUGCAGAAUUCAGUGAAUCAUGAAUCUUUGAACGCACAUUGCGCCCCCUGGUAUUCCGGGGGGCAUGCCUGUUCGAGCGUCAUUU
RNAcentral lists this ribosomal RNA (156 nucleotides) under Lachnum sp. 2138. Its description in RNAcentral is "5.8S ribosomal RNA". It matches the Rfam family "5.8S ribosomal RNA". From Rfam's summary of the family: 5.8S ribosomal RNA (5.8S rRNA) is a component of the large subunit of the eukaryotic ribosome. The record is from RNAcentral. Lineage: Eukaryota; Fungi; Ascomycota; Leotiomycetes; Helotiales; Lachnaceae.